CGCUCGACCUCGACCAGGCGCAAACCGAUUAAGUCUACUAACGACUGAUUAACGAGCUGCCUCACUAAACAGACUGCAGGUCAAUGUCAGUUUUAGAGGACAGGCAGAGCUUUUACAGAGAGCAGCCUCUGUGUUUACUUCCAGGGAACAUGACAUGAGGACUGAAAGUAAACACAGCAGGACAUAUCCACAGCCAUCAGCUCCAUCAAUGGGCACAAUUACAGAACUUGUUGUGCUGUAUCAUGACCUAAGUCGCUGCAGGGCUCUUCCUCAUUAGCCGCUGGAAUUGGUGAAAGAAACUAAUGCAACAUCGCCCCCACUGGACCUCUCCUGGUACUACAAAGGACUACUGUACAUGCAUAAACAUGCUGUGUAUA
Molecule: long non-coding RNA, 377 nt
Organism: Larimichthys crocea (large yellow croaker)
Lineage: Eukaryota; Metazoa; Chordata; Actinopteri; Sciaenidae
Exons: 3
Source: RefSeq, a predicted model, not a curated record